This 211-nucleotide long non-coding RNA is filed under the name Carica papaya (papaya). RNAcentral's name for it is "long non-coding RNA (CPAP_LNC007935)". The record is from RNAcentral. Lineage: Eukaryota; Viridiplantae; Streptophyta; Magnoliopsida; Brassicales; Caricaceae.
GCGAAUUAUAAAGAUUUUUCUAUUGUUUAUCAUACGUGUAUGUAUUCCAAAGUCCUAUAGGUACAAUGGUUUCCUUCUUAAGGAUGGUAAGUUGUGUGUACCUAAUUGUUGAAUAAGGGAAUUGCUGGUACACGAAGCACAUAGGGGUACUCAUGGGUUAUUUUGGGUUAAUAAAGACUUCAAAUAUUCUACAUAAACAUUUAUAUUGGCC